RNAcentral lists this ribosomal RNA (164 nucleotides) under Digitaria ciliaris (southern crabgrass). RNAcentral describes it as "5.8S ribosomal RNA". It matches the Rfam family "5.8S ribosomal RNA". Rfam says of the family: 5.8S ribosomal RNA (5.8S rRNA) is a component of the large subunit of the eukaryotic ribosome. It is transcribed by RNA polymerase I as part of the 45S precursor that also contains 18S and 28S rRNA. The record is from RNAcentral. Lineage: Eukaryota; Viridiplantae; Streptophyta; Magnoliopsida; Poales; Poaceae.
AACACGACUCUCGGCAACGGAUAUCUCGGCUCUCGCAUCGAUGAAGAACGUAGAAAAAUGCGAUACCUGGUGUGAAUUGCAGAAUCCCGUGAACCAUCGAGUUUUUGAACGCAAGUUGCGCCCGAGGCCUUCUGGUCGAGGGCACGCCUGCCUGGGCGUCACGU